This 253-nucleotide ribosomal RNA is filed under the name uncultured bacterium. Its description in RNAcentral is "partial 16S ribosomal RNA". It matches the Rfam family "Bacterial small subunit ribosomal RNA", at positions 524 to 776 of the family's 1533-position model. The record is from RNAcentral.
UACGGGGGGGGUAAGCGUUGUUCGGAAUUACUGGGCGUAAAGGGCUCGUAGGCGGCCAACUAAGUCAUACGUGAAAUCCCUCAGCUUAACUGGGGAACUACGUGUGAUACUGGAUGGCUUGGAUUUGGGAGAGGGAUGCGGAAUUCCAGGUGUAGCGGUGAAAUGCGUAGAUAUCUGGAGGAACACCGGUGGCGAAGGCGGCAUCCUGGACCGGUAUUGACGCUGAGGCGCGAAAGCCAGGGGAGCAAACGGG